Molecule: ribosomal RNA, 332 nt
Filed under: Ixodes scapularis (black-legged tick)
Lineage: Eukaryota; Metazoa; Arthropoda; Arachnida; Ixodida; Ixodidae
Description: partial 16S ribosomal RNA
Source: RNAcentral
GAAAUAAGAUUUUAAAUGAGUGCUAAGAGAAUGAUUAAACAAUUAAAAGCUUUCUUUAAUUAAAAAGUUAAAUUUAAUUUUUUAGUGCAAAAGCAAAAAUAAAAUUUAGGGACAAGAAGACCCUAUGAAUUUUUAUUGUUAAUAAUUAAAAUUUAAGUUAUUAAUAAUUUAAUUGGGGCGAUAAAAAAAGAAUAAGUAUCUUUUUAGUUAUAAAAUAAGUUCCGUUUUUAGCGAUUAAAUGAAAUAAAUACUCUAGGGAUAACAGCGUAAUAAUUUUGGAUAGUUCAUAUAGAUAAAAUAGUUUGCGACCUCGAUGUUGGAUUAGGAUUCUU